GAUGAACGCUGGCGGCGUGCUUAACACAUGCAAGUCGAACGAAGCACUUUAUUUGAUUUCCUUCGGGACUGAUUAUUUUGUGACUGAGUGGCGGACGGGUGAGUAACGCGUGGGUAACCUGCCUCUUACAGGGGGAGAACAGUUGGAAACGGCUGCUAAUACCGCAUAAGCGCCCAGCAUCGCAUGAUGCAGUGUGAAAAACUCCGGUGGUAUAAGAUGGACCCGCGUUGGAUUAGCUAGUUGGUGAGGUAACGGCCCACCAAGGCGACGAGCCAUAGCCGACGUGUGAGGGUGACCGGCCACAUUGGGGCUGAGACGCGGCCCAAAAUCCUCCGGGAGGCAGCAGUGGGGAAUGUUGCACAAUGGGCGAAAGCCUGAUGCAGCGACGCCGCGUGAACGAAGAAAUAUGUCGGUAUGUAAAGCUCUAUCAGCAGGGAAGAUAAUGACGGUACCUGACUAAGAAGCACCGGCUAAAUACGUG
RNAcentral lists this ribosomal RNA (481 nucleotides) under uncultured bacterium. RNAcentral describes it as "partial 16S ribosomal RNA". It matches the Rfam family "Bacterial small subunit ribosomal RNA", at positions 28 to 507 of the family's 1533-position model. The record is from RNAcentral.